CGAACGGGUGAGUAACGCGUGGGGAAUCUGCCUUUGAGCGGGGGACAACAUUUGGAAACGAAUGCUAAUACCGCAUAAAAACUUUAAACACAAGUUUUAAGUUUGAAAGAUGCAAUUGCAUCACUCAAAGAUGAUCCCGCGUUGUAUUAGCUAGUUGGUGAGGUAAAGGCUCACCAAGGCGAUGAUACAUAGUCGACCUGAGAGGGUGAUCGGCCACAUUGGGACUGAGACACGGCCCAAACUCCUACGGGAGGCAGCAUG
Molecule: ribosomal RNA, 261 nt
Filed under: uncultured bacterium
Lineage: Bacteria
Description: partial 16S ribosomal RNA
Rfam family: Bacterial small subunit ribosomal RNA
Source: RNAcentral